UCCUCAGUAGCUCAGUGGUAGAGCGGUCGGUAGAGCGGUCGGCUGUUAACUGAUUGGUCGUAGGUUCGAAUCCUACUUGGGGAG
RNAcentral lists this transfer RNA (84 nucleotides) under Dracaena cambodiana. RNAcentral describes it as "tRNA-Asn". It matches the Rfam family "tRNA". From Rfam's summary of the family: Transfer RNA (tRNA) molecules are approximately 80 nucleotides in length. Their secondary structure includes four short double-helical elements and three loops (D, anti-codon, and T loops). Further hydrogen bonds mediate the characteristic L-shaped molecular structure. tRNAs have two regions of fundamental functional importance: the anti-codon, which is responsible for specific mRNA codon recognition, and the 3' end, to which the tRNAs corresponding amino acid is attached (by aminoacyl-tRNA synthetases). tRNAs cope with the degeneracy of the genetic code in two manners: having more than one tRNA (with a specific anti-codon) for a particular amino acid; and 'wobble' base-pairing, i.e. permitting non-standard base-pairing at the 3rd anti-codon position. Lineage: Eukaryota; Viridiplantae; Streptophyta; Magnoliopsida; Asparagales; Asparagaceae. The record is from RNAcentral.